CGGUAGCUGGUCUGAGAGGAUGACCAGCCACACUGGAACUGAGACACGGUCCAGACUCCUACGGGAGGCAGCAGUGGGGAAUAUUGGACAAUGGGGGGAACCCUGAUCCAGCAAUGCCGCGUGUGUGAAGAAGGCCUGAGGGUUGUAAAGCACUUUCAGUGGGGAGGAGGGUUGACAGGUUAAGAGCUGGUUGACUGGACGUUACCCACAGAAGAAGCACCGGCUAACUCCGUGCCAGCAGCCGCGGUAAUACGGAGGGUGCGAGCGUUAAUCGGAAUUACUGGGCGUAAAGGGUGCGUAGGUGGUUUGAUAAGUUAUCUGUGAAAGCCCUGGGCUCAACCUGGGAACUGCAGAUAAGACUGUUGAACUCGAGUAUAGGAGAGGGUAGUGGAAUUUCCGGUGUAGCGGUGAAAUGCGUAGAGAUCGGAAGGAACACCAGUGGCGAAGGCGGCUACCUGGCCUAAUACUGACACUGAGGCACGAAAGCGUGGGGAGCAAACAGGAUUAGAUACCCUGGUAGUCCACGCUGUAAACGAUGUCAACUAGCUGUUGGUCUUAUGAAUGAGAUUAGUGGCGCAGCA
Molecule: ribosomal RNA, 581 nt
Filed under: Legionella rubrilucens
Lineage: Bacteria; Pseudomonadati; Pseudomonadota; Gammaproteobacteria; Legionellales; Legionellaceae
Description: bacterial SSU rRNA
Rfam family: Bacterial small subunit ribosomal RNA
Source: RNAcentral